GCUUACGGCCAUACCAACCUGAAUAUGCCCGAUCUCGUCUGAUCUCGGAAGCUAAGCAGGUUUGGGCCUGGUUAGUACUUGGAUGGGAGACGCCUGGGAAUACCAGGUGCUUUAAGCU
Molecule: ribosomal RNA, 118 nt
Filed under: Carassius auratus (goldfish)
Lineage: Eukaryota; Metazoa; Chordata; Actinopteri; Cypriniformes; Cyprinidae
Source: RNAcentral